Long non-coding RNA from Trichoplusia ni (cabbage looper), 3127 nucleotides. RefSeq lists it as uncharacterized. The transcript is spliced from 2 exons. The record is from RefSeq and is a predicted model, not a curated record. Lineage: Eukaryota; Metazoa; Arthropoda; Insecta; Lepidoptera; Noctuidae.
CGCCGGGCAGGGCCGCGCCGGGCCGCGCCGGCUGGCGGCCACCUGCGACCAGCCCGCACGUGCCGCCAUCCGACACGGUGUCCCGCCAUCAUUAUACCAUUAUACCAUUCAUAUUAUCUGACAUGUCAUUCCAAUUUCUACCCUAAUGUUAACACUUAAGACCACACAGUUACAGGAUUGGAACUUUGCUACGAAGCGUUUCUGAUAUCCCUCUAAACUAAGCAUAAUUAAAAGAAAAACAGCUUUAUUUCUUUCGCAAUAGGGACUAUAAUAAACAAUCCGAUCUGUGUUAAAUCGGGAAGGGGAUGUAAAUAAUGUGUUUGGAGUCGCGGUCGCGAACAAUUAAGAUUGAAUCGGUCUGAUGACAUUAUAAUACAGGUUUGAUACGGGGUGCAUUUGUAUGAGUUAGUUAAGAGCAUUAGUUAUUUUAAUCGCAACAAGUAAUAUUAAGCGCGACAAGUUGCGCUGAGUGGUCGCACGUGCAGCGCGCGCGACCAAACUCCGUACUGUGUACCUACAUGUGAUCUGACUCGGCACCACUGUAUUGUGAAUUAUUAUAACCACGUUACCAAAAUCGCAAAGCACGGCAAAUCCUAAGAAUUUUUUUAUUAAGUAAAUCUUUAAACAAUCCCUUAUCUUAUUACACAUCUGAUUGCAGUUUGUCUGAGGGUAUAAAUAGCUAAAACAUAAGUAAUCAAGAAUCAAGAAUCUAGAAUAUUUAUUUGUUAAACAUAGGUACAUUAAAUGCUGGUGUUAAAGAUACAUAAGGAGCGCUAUGUUUUGCCAUGAAGGCGUACAAAUAUAACAAAUUAAGUAAAGAUUUAUAAGUAAUGAUAAUCUCAAUUACUACGCACAUUACGGAGCCUAACACGUCAAUAGUAUGUUGUACAUGAAGUAGGUCAUAUUAUGUGGUUAACCAAAUGUCUUAUAUAAAUUAUGUUUUAAUUAUUUGCAGAAUUUAUUUUUGUUGUUUGUUUCUUAGGUAAACUAUUUAUUAGACACAUUUGAAUAUUGUCGUCCCCAGAGAUUGCUCUGCGGACUUCAUACUUGCUUGCACAUGCAGCCCUAGUUUCAUGGUUGUGAUUGAACACUGAGGAACUCUCCCUGCUACUGCACUGCCAUGGCUAGAGUUCAGAAUAAAUUAUUCAUGUUUGAAGCUAGAUAUUCCAAUAAAUUAUCCAGUCUUCUGUUUGUUUCAAGCAAAGCAACAAAAUCUGAGUGUCGCAAGUCUGAUUAGCAUUUAAUGUUUUUUUUUUAACCUUAGAACUUACGAUCUUUUGAUUUUUCAUACAUCGCGUUUUACCUAGAUAAACAAACCCUAUUUAGAUCAAAUUUAUAUACAAAGUAGAGUAAACCUAGCACUCGUCGGCCAUCACGCUCGUUAUGCUCGCUCGCCUUCGCGACUCUGCGCGGUUAUACUCAAUACAGUGCUGUGUAAAAAGGUAAUGUAAUACCUAAUCCCACCGUCACAGCCGCAGAUUGAGCAGAUUCCCUGAUUACUUACUAGUGUAGUGCGUCCGAGAUGUUUCGGGAGAUACGAUCCGCUAUAUUUUAUCGCCUUGGUCUGCACGUGUUCCGAUGAGUGCGCGAUAAGCCGCGGCGGGCCCGGCCGGCAGGCGCGCGGCUCGGGGCUGCGGCGGGCAGCGCGCCGCCUGGCUAAUGUCACACCCUCAACUCGCCCUCACCGUUACCUACCAUACAAUUCAAUAACGUAAUUGAAGAUUUUAUUGCUAUCCGGCGAAGUCAGAUUAUGAAACAUGAAUACCUACUGCUUAUGUGCAUGGAAAAUAUAGGGUUUAGUACCAUAAUGGUUUAUUAAUCUUGAUCAAAAUGUAUCAAGUAGGACUUCUUUUUUUCACUCGUCAGCCGAAAAUAGACCAACAACUACAGUACAUAGAUACUAUUACCUACUGUGACUACGGUAAAAACAUAGUAACCGAGUUAUAAAUUGAUAUCUAAUAUCCUCUACCGGUGAAAAUGGGCGGUCCCGACGAACACCGAAAAGUCAAUAUUAUUACAAAGUGCAUAUUAGUAGAGCUCUUAAAUAACAAUUACUAGCGACACGUGUGCCCAUGAGCAGGGUGCGCCAAAUACGUAAGGGGUGCAAAACAGCAAAACAUACUUUAGGUUCUUACACAUAAUACUCAUUUUCCCAAGGAAUAUAUUUGUUUGUGCAGCUGCACUUGCGCUUUGUUUCUCUUCUUCCUUUUAUUCAACACAAUCAUUGUGUUAAGAGCUUAAAUGUAACAAUUAUAAAAUCAUUCUAGGUAUAUGUAUACUUAUUAAAAGUGCACUGUUUAUUAACCAGCACUGCGUGCACUUCAGGCUCAGUCCACCUUUGAAAGAUUUUGUGAUAUUGCUACACUAGCUGUUUCUCGCUACUUUGUCCGCGUAGCUAAUGUAGCUAUGAUAUAAUACAAAUAUUCGGCUUUUUUCAAAUCAAAUAUAUCUUCCCAUUUUUUUAACAUUUCUCAUUGCUGUUCUGCUCCUAUUGCUAAUAGCGGGGUGUUAUAUAGUCUAUAGCCAAAAUAAAUUAGCUAUCUGACAUAGAAAGAAUUUAUGAAAUCAGCCCAGUAGUUCGAACAAACAAAGUUACAAUUAAACGCUUCAACUUUAUAUUAUUUUAUGUACUACUGUAACAGUGACUUCGUCCGCCAGGCUUAAAAUGAUAAUUUUCUGUUUAUAAAUAUUUAGUGUAUGAUAAUUUUUUGGACUAAAAAACCACACUACUAAAAACGAUUUCGUUUAAGGCUAAACCACAGCGGAUUUUGUGAGUAAAGGAAAUUAAUCGUCGCGGCUGCAAACGCUGAUGGUUCUCAUCGUGCUGGCCGCAGAUAUCCGGACAUUAUUUAAAAGCAAUCUUAGGAUUUGUUAUGAAAGAACCAAAUUUUUUACUAGUUUAUGGGUGGUACUAAAAUUGCAUGAAAAACCGUUGUGCAUCCUAAGAUUUAGAUCGGACGACGACUAAACUGUUUAUACUUCAGAGCGGAAGCCCUUAUACUUGGAAAAAAAUAAAGAUUUAUUUAUAAACUUCAACUAUAAUAUUAUUCAUGUUGAAUUUCCAAUCAAAUGUUCAAGAAAGGUCAUCAUUCAUGAAUAAUGAUCAUUUCAUGAUUAUUUUUUAUUU